ACCAUAGCAAGUCGAACGGUGAAGCAGAGCUUGCUCUGUGGAUCAGUGGCGAACGGGUGAGUAACACGUGAGCAACCUGCCCCUGACUCUGGGAUAAGCGCUGGAAACGGCGUCUAAUACUGGAUAUGAGCUGCGACCGCAUGGUCAGCAGUUGGAAAGAUUUUUCGGUCUGGGAUGGGCUCACGGCCUAUCAGCUUGUUGGUGAGGUAAUGGCUCACCAAGGCGUCGACGGGUAGCCGGCCUGAGAGGGUGACCGGCCACACUGGGACUGAGACACGGCCCAGACUCCUACGGGAGGCAGCAGUGGGGAAUAUUGCACAAUGGGCGAAAGCCUGAUGCAGCAACGCCGCGUGAGGGAUGACGGCCUUCGGGUUGUAAACCUCUUUUAGCAGGGAAGAAGCGAAAGUGACGGUACCUGCAGAAAAAGCGCCGGCUAACUACGUGCCAGCAGCCGCGGUAAUACGUAGGGCGCAAGCGUUAUCCGGAAUUAUUGGGCGUAAAGAGCUCGUAGGCGGUUUGUCGCGUCUGCUGUGAAAUCCCGAGGCUCAACCUCGGGUCUGCAGUGGGUACGGGCAGACUAGAGUGCGGUAGGGGAGAUUGGAAUUCCUGGUGUAGCGGUGGAAUGCGCAGAUAUCAGGAGGAACACCGAUGGCGAAGGCAGAUCUCUGGGCCGUUACUGACGCUGAGGAGCGAAAGGGUGGRGAGCAAACAGGCUUAKAUACCCUGGUAGUCCACCSCGUAAACGUUGGGAACUAGUUGUGGRGUCCAUUCCACGGAUUCCGUGACGCAGCUAACGCAUUAAGUUCCCCGCCUGGGGAGUACGGCCGCAAGGCUAAAACUCAAAGGAAUUGACGGGGACCCGCACAAGCGGCGGAGCAUGCGGAUUAAUUCGAUGCAACGCGAAGAACCUUACCAAGGCUUGACAUAUACGAGAACGGGCCAGAAAUGGUCAACUCUUUGGACACUCGUAAACAGGUGGUGCAUGGUUGUCGUCAGCUCGUGUCGUGAGAUGUUGGGUUAAGUCCCGCAACGAGCGCAACCCUCGUUCUAUGUUGCCAGCACGUAAUGGUGGGAACUCAUGGGAUACUGCCGGGGUCAACUCGGAGGAAGGUGGGGAUGACGUCAAAUCAUCAUGCCCCUUAUGUCUUGGGCUUCACGCAUGCUACAAUGGCCGGUACAAAGGGCUGCAAUACCGUGAGGUGGAGCGAAUCCCAAAAAGCCGGUCCCAGUUCGGAUUGAGGUCUGCAACUCGACCUCAUGAAGUCGGAGUCGCUAGUAAUCGCAGAUCAGCAACGCUGCGGUGAAUACGUUCCCGGGUCUUGUACACACCGCCCGUCAAGUCAUGAAAGUCGGUAACACCUGAAGCCGGUGGCCCAACCCUUGUGGAGGUAGCCGU
Molecule: ribosomal RNA, 1396 nt
Filed under: Microbacterium oleivorans
Lineage: Bacteria; Bacillati; Actinomycetota; Actinomycetes; Micrococcales; Microbacteriaceae
Description: bacterial SSU rRNA
Source: RNAcentral